ACGCCGCGGCCCAGGCCCGGCCUGAUGGGCCACAGGUGGAGCUGCCGGUGCUCCUCUGGGUGUUCAGUCCAGAGCAGGUUUAAAGAGGUCCAAGAAAAAGAAAAAAAACACAGUCCAGGGAACUUCUUUGCCUCAGCUAGCUAAAGCUAACUAAAAGCAAAGGAGAGCUCUGUCCUGCUGUCUGUCCACCCGCAGAAGCACAGUCCAGGAGGAGGAAUGUGGAGGAGUGAGUGCAGUGUCUGAAAAGAAACUGUGCUCUUCUUCCCUCUCCCCUUCACUCUCUGGAACAAGGCUUAAAGUAUGUCAGAAUGAUGGAAGAUGUAGCCCAUCAAGCUGCCAAAAACAUGAAGUGUGGAAUAUAAAUAGAUGUUUUCAGUGUCACAGGUGCUGCUGAAUUGUCUGGAGACAUACUAUUCAAAUUUGCAGUUUCCAGGUCCUGAAGUGUCUCCCUCAAAACAUGCUG
Long non-coding RNA from Passer domesticus (house sparrow), 463 nucleotides. RefSeq lists it as uncharacterized. NCBI's taxonomy places the organism in Eukaryota, Metazoa, Chordata, Aves, Passeriformes, Passeridae. The record is from RefSeq and is a predicted model, not a curated record. The transcript has 3 exons.